GUCCAGACUCCUACGGGAGGCAGCAGUGGGGAAUAUUGCACAAUGGGGGAAACCCUGAUGCAGCGACGCCGCGUGAGCGAUGAAGUAUUUCGGUAUGUAAAGCUCUAUCAGCAGGGAAGAAGAUGACGGUACCUGACUAAGAAGCCCCGGCUAACUACGUGCCAGCAGCCGCGGUAAUACGUAGGGGGCAAGCGUUAUCCGGAUUUACUGGGUGUAAAGGGAGCGUAGACGGCGGCGCAAGCCAGAUGUGAAAGCCCGGGGCUCAACUCCGGGACUGCAUUUGGAACUGUGUGGCUGGAGUGUCGGAGAGGCAGGCGGAAUUCCUAGUGUAGCGGUGAAAUGCGUAGAUAUUAGGAGGAACACCAGUGGCGAAGGCGGCCUGCUGGACGAUGACUGACGUUGAGGCUCGAAAGCGUGGGGAGCAAACAGGAUUAGAUACCCCCGUACA
RNAcentral lists this ribosomal RNA (448 nucleotides) under uncultured bacterium. RNAcentral describes it as "bacterial SSU rRNA". It matches the Rfam family "Bacterial small subunit ribosomal RNA", at positions 329 to 794 of the family's 1533-position model. The record is from RNAcentral.